RNAcentral lists this ribosomal RNA (253 nucleotides) under uncultured bacterium. Its description in RNAcentral is "partial 16S ribosomal RNA". It matches the Rfam family "Bacterial small subunit ribosomal RNA", at positions 524 to 776 of the family's 1533-position model. The record is from RNAcentral.
UACGUAGGGGGCAAGCGUUGUCCGGAUUUAUUGGGCGUAAAGAGCGUGCAGGCGGCCGUACAGGUCAGCUGUGAAAACUCGAGGCUCAACCUCGAGACGUCGGUUGAAACCGUACGGCUAGAGUCCGGAAGAGGAGAGUGGAAUUCCCGGUGUAGCGGUGAAAUGCGCAGAUAUCGGGAAGAACACCCGUGGCGAAGGCGGCUCUCUGGGACGGUACUGACGCUGAGACGCGAAAGCGUGGGGAGCGAACAGG